UGGGAGCUCUUGUACGAUCCUUUAUCCUGCACAUGGUAGAGUCUAGCAGAUUCACUCUGCCACAGAAGGGCAAAACUGGGGCCAGAUAAGUUAACUGCAAGUAAGAUCUGGCAUUGGGAGCCAUUUGGAAACCAUGAAGGAGUUAACCUGAAGAUCUGAAAGAAAGUCGACCUUGGUGCCACUCUCUGGCAAUAGUCCUUAUGAGAGCCUGGAAGAGGAAUACCAGAGAAUUUUGGGAAAUUCACGCAGGUCUAAGAUUCCAUCGAGCCUCAGGGCUGCUCCAGGAAGGGCUCCAUGUCCCAAUGGCUCUGGCUGUGUGUAUUUAUUACAGCUCUUUCAUUCAUUCAACAACAAUUUAUUAAGUCCUACCCUUCGCUGGUUCUGUUAAGUUCUGAGGAUUCUAGGAUAUGGAAGACACCAACAGUGGCCUCUCGAUA
This 437-nucleotide long non-coding RNA is filed under the name Bos indicus x Bos taurus (hybrid cattle). Its description in RNAcentral is "lncRNA (ENSBIXG00005006919.1)". Lineage: Eukaryota; Metazoa; Chordata; Mammalia; Artiodactyla; Bovidae. The record is from RNAcentral.